This 497-nucleotide ribosomal RNA is filed under the name uncultured bacterium. Its description in RNAcentral is "partial 16S ribosomal RNA". It matches the Rfam family "Bacterial small subunit ribosomal RNA", at positions 28 to 507 of the family's 1533-position model. The record is from RNAcentral.
GACGAACGCUGGCGGCGUGCCUAAUACAUGCAAGUAGAACGCUGAAGCUUGGUGCUUGCACCGAGCGGAUGAGUUGCGAACGGGUGAGUAACGCGUAGGUAACCUGCCUGGUAGCGGGGGAUAACUAUUGGAAACGAUAGCUAAUACCGCAUAAGAGUAGAUGUUGCAUGACAUUUGCUUAAAAGGUGCAAUUGCAUCACUACCAGAUGGACCUGCGUUGUAUUAGCUAGUUGGUGAGGUAACGGCUCACCAAGGCAACGAUACAUAGCCGACCUGAGAGGGUGAGAGGCCACACUGGGACUGAGACACGGCCCAGACUCCUACGGGAGGCAGCAGUAGGGAAUCUUCGGCAAUGGACGGAAGUCUGACCGAGCAACGCCGCGUGAGUGAAGAAGGUUUUCGGAUCGUAAAGCUCUGUUGUAAGAGAAGAACGAGUGUGAGAGUGGAAAGUUCACACUGUGACGGUAUCUGACCAGAAAGGGACGGCUAACUACGUG